RNAcentral lists this non-coding RNA (86 nucleotides) under Pseudomonas floridensis. The record is from RNAcentral. Lineage: Bacteria; Pseudomonadati; Pseudomonadota; Gammaproteobacteria; Pseudomonadales; Pseudomonadaceae.
CGUCAUGGCGGCCAUGUGCAGGCCGCCCUUCGGGUGUGCCGGUUCGUGCUACCGGUUGACCAACCUGCACACAGUCCGCCACCUAU